CGCAAGUCUGAUGCAGCAAUGCCGCGUGGGUGAAGAAGGCCUUCGGGUUGUAAAGCCCUUUUGUACGGGAAGAAAGCGUUCGGGUUAAUACCCUGGGUGGAUGACGGUACCGUAAGAAUAAGCACCGGCUAGCUUCGUGCCAGCAGCCGCGAUAAUA
RNAcentral lists this ribosomal RNA (157 nucleotides) under uncultured bacterium. RNAcentral describes it as "partial 16S ribosomal RNA". It matches the Rfam family "Bacterial small subunit ribosomal RNA", at positions 376 to 525 of the family's 1533-position model. The record is from RNAcentral.